RNAcentral lists this ribosomal RNA (395 nucleotides) under uncultured bacterium. Its description in RNAcentral is "partial 16S ribosomal RNA". It matches the Rfam family "Bacterial small subunit ribosomal RNA", at positions 523 to 918 of the family's 1533-position model. The record is from RNAcentral.
AUACGUAGGGGGCAAGCGUUAAUCGGAAUUACUGGGCGUAAAGCGUGCGUAGGCGGUUUUGAAAGUCAGAUGUGAAAUCCCCGGGCUUAACCUGGGAGCUGCCUUUGUUACGUGCAGACUAGAGUACGGGAGAGGGGUGUGGAAUUCCCCGUGUAGCGGUGAAAUGCGUAGAUAUGGGGAGGAACACCGAUGGCGAAGGCAAUCCCUUGGGCAUGUCCUGCCGUUAAUGCACGAAAGCGUGGGGAGCAACAAGGAUUAGUUCCCUGGGUAGUCACCGUCUUAACGGAUUGCAACUGGUUGUGGGGACUUUAUUGACUCAGUAACGAAGCUAACGCGUGAAGUUGACCGCCUGGGGAGUACGGCCGCAAGGUUGAAACUCAAAGGAAUUGGCGGGG